This 164-nucleotide ribosomal RNA is filed under the name Acer albopurpurascens x Acer buergerianum var. formosanum. Its description in RNAcentral is "5.8S ribosomal RNA". It matches the Rfam family "5.8S ribosomal RNA". Rfam says of the family: 5.8S ribosomal RNA (5.8S rRNA) is a component of the large subunit of the eukaryotic ribosome. It is transcribed by RNA polymerase I as part of the 45S precursor that also contains 18S and 28S rRNA. The record is from RNAcentral. Lineage: Eukaryota; Viridiplantae; Streptophyta; Magnoliopsida; Sapindales; Sapindaceae.
AAAACGACUCUCGGCAACGGAUAUCUCGGCUCUCGCAUCGACGAAGAACGUAGCGAAAUGCGAUACUUGGUGUGAAUUGCAGAAUCCCGUGAACCAUCGAGUCUUUGAACGCAAGUUGCGCCCCAAGCCGUUAGGCCGAGGGCACGCCUGCCUGGGUGUCACGC